RNAcentral lists this ribosomal RNA (512 nucleotides) under bacterium MDA2477-like oral clone 51A-9. Its description in RNAcentral is "bacterial SSU rRNA". It matches the Rfam family "Bacterial small subunit ribosomal RNA", at positions 8 to 521 of the family's 1533-position model. The record is from RNAcentral.
AGAGUUUGAUCCUGGCUCAGGAUGAACGCUGGCGGCGUGCUUAACACAUGCAAGUCGAACGAGAGCUACAGGAGGAAGUUUUCGGAUGGAAUCCGGUAGAUCGAGUGGCGGACGGGUGAGUAACGCGUGGGGAACCUGCCUCAUACAGGGGGAUAACAGUUGGAAACGACUGUUAAUACCGCAUAAGACCACAGAGUCGCAUGACUCAGGGGUAAAAACUCCGGUGGUAUGAGAUGGACCCGCGUUCGAUUAGCCAGUUGGCGGGGUAACGGCCCACCAAAGCGACGAUCGAUAGCCGAUUUGAGAGAAUGACCGGCCACAUUGGGACUGAGACACGGCCCAAACUCCUACGGGAGGCAGCAGUGGGGAAUAUUGCACAAUGGGGGGAACCCUGAUGCAGCGACGCCGCGUGAGUGAAGAAGUAUUUCGGUAUGUAAAGCUCUAUCAGCAGGGAAGAAGAUGACGGUACCUGAGUAAGAAGCCCCGGCUAACUACGUGCCAGCAGCCGCGGU